Oncorhynchus nerka (sockeye salmon) is the source of this 3701-nucleotide long non-coding RNA. RefSeq lists it as uncharacterized. Lineage: Eukaryota; Metazoa; Chordata; Actinopteri; Salmoniformes; Salmonidae. The record is from RefSeq and is a predicted model, not a curated record. The transcript is spliced from 3 exons.
UUAGACACAGAGAUGUAUAGCAGACGUUUGAUCCAGUGAGGUGGGAGUAGCCAUCGGCCUCAGAUAUAAUCAAGACACACAGUUGAAACUAAAAUAAGAGACAAUGACAACCACGGGGAUACAAUGAUCUAUUUACGUUUACAGGGCCCUCAAAAGUCCCUCAGUCAAGUAUUGAAUUUCAAGCACAGAUUCAACUACAAAGACCAGCAUGGUGGUCGCUGCAUCAUGGGUAUGGCUAUCCUUGACAUCUGCUAAUACUGGGGAGUUUUUCCAGGAUAAAAAGAAGCGGGAUGGAACUAAGCACAGGCAAAAUCCUAGAGAAAAAUUUGCUUCAGUCUGCUUUACACCAGAGACUGGGAGAGGGAUUCACCUUUCAGCAGGACAAUAACCUACAACACAAGGCCAAAUCUACACUGAAGUUGCUUACCUAGAAGACAGUGGAUGUUCCUGAGUGCCCAAUAUACAGUUUUGACUUAAAUCUGCUUGAAAAUCUAUGGCAAGACUUGAACAUUGUGGUCUAGCCAUGAUCUUGACAGGGUUUGAAGAAUCUUUUAAAGAAUAAUGGACCAAUAUUGCACAAUUCAGGUGUGAAAAGCUCUUAUAGACAUACCCAAGAAGACUCACAGCUGUGAUCGAUGCCAAAGGUGUCUCUAACAUGCAUUGACUAAGGAAGCCGCAUACUUAUGCAACAACUAUUGUUUAGUUAUUUAAUUUUUAUUCAUAUUUAAAUCAUGUUUGACUUUUUCUUCCUCUUUGACACUACAGAGUAUUUUGUGUAGAUUGUUGACAAAAAAGUACAAUUAAAUACAUUUUAAUCACACUUUGUAAUACAAUAAAAUGUGAAGAAAUCCAAGGGGUCUGGAUAAUUUUGCAAUGCACUGUAUGUGGUGGCCCCACAAAUCUAUCUUAAGAUCACGAGCGUCUGCUAAAUGACUCAAAUGUAACGUUUUCCAUUAGGUCGUAUAGGCUACAUAGAUUUCUUAUAAGUAGAGUUCUAUUUCCAGUAAAAAUCCAACAGAUGGCCGAUCUUUCCAGAGAAAGAAGAGGGAAGACAUUUGAAUGAUUCAUUUUGAUUAUGUUUUGGACGUGAUUUGAUUGCAGAGACUAGACUCUUAUGAUUCAGCAUACUAAAGUAUCAUACCAUAAGUUCCCCAAAAAGUAAAAAUGAUGCGCAGGUGUUUUUGGGUUGGUUCUUCUUGGUCCACCGAAACAGAACCAUCUGUACUGGUUGUUUUUCCUCGUAACUCAUUGAAUCACUUCCCAUGCAGCCUCCGCUCUCUCCGUUAAGGGCAGCACAGUGUUCCCUAGACAGUGGAACCACAUCUGCAAGCCAUUAACCCAGUUCGUUUGUCCACGUUGCUGGAAUUCUCGUUUUCUGACUUUGGGCCCAGACAGACUAGUGGACACACUAAGAAUUAUUCAAAGACUGCCACUUAUGGACAGCAAAAUCAGCUAAAAAAGAAAUAAAAAGUUUAGAUAAGAAACCAUUGUCAGCAGUAUAAAAUGAGGCAGCAGGCAUAGUGGUGCUCCUACUAUGACCUCCUCCUCUUCCUCACAUUCACCCCAAUACAGCUUAUUCCUUUAACCCCUCAACUCUUCUAUCCAGGCACAAUUUCCGCAUUUAUAUCCCCUUUACAAUCUCAGUCAAAUUAUUUAUCAAUUCUUCACUUUCACAUCCACCAUCACCAAACAUUUGAAACCAGGUUGCCACUUCUACACUGCAGACAAAUAAACAUCCAGACAGACAAUUUCAAUGUUUUCUUUCAUAGACAGCAGGUUUCCAUUACUCAACUUAAGAGUCUAGAACUGAAUCUGGGCAGCACACACAUAUACACACACCACAGGCAACGUGGCAUUCUGCACGUAGGCUGCCAAAUACUUGUAGGCCCAUACACAGCAUCCAGGAGGAGGAGCCUCUCACACUGUACUGCCCUGGCCCACAACUACACUGGAGCUUCUGGUUUCACUCCCACCCCAUAAUGAUCAGUACUUUUCAACCUCAUAAAGUAUGGCAUCUGAAAUGCAUGGGAGGAGAUUGUCUGUGACUCCAAGUGCAUGAACCCUGGACUUCUGAAUGUUUGAACUUUGCACAUACCAACCGCAUAAUGUAAUGAUGUCUAAUGAAUUUAUCUUCUUUCCCUGGAAAAUCAUCAGUGUGCGUUGUCUAGGAAACAUGAAAGCAGAUAUGGAAAGAAAUGUACAGGAUUGGUAAAAGUAGGAAUGACAGAGAUGUGAGGGGGGAGAGUGAUAUAAAAGAGAAAGCCAGGUCAGAAUGAUAACACAAGCAUUUCCCCCUACACACGCAAUAACAUCUUCUAAAUAUGUGUAUGUGACCAGUAAAAUUUGAUUUGAUAACAGCUUGGACUAAAAAUAUUGACCUAAUUCAAAGCAAAUGUCUUUGAGGUGGUCAUAAUGAAGUCACAACAACUCACUUCACCAAUGCAUAUGAAAAGCACCAUCUAUUGGGCGUAUAAUGUAUUGCAGUCAAACAGCAAAACAGUGCUGUGGUGGCCCUUCAGUUUUGAAGUUAGUGGGCAAGGUGCGAAUUACAGGGAAACCAGGGGGAGCUCAGGUUCACUGAAUGAGAAGUUAGCGCCCAUAAAUGCUCAUCUAAAUAAUGCUAAUUUAACCAUUCCCUAUUUGUUAAAAAGGUAGUGUUAAAUAUGUUUUACAGUGGUAAAUUAAAAUAAACACCUCCAUCUAUCUGUCAUGGUUUAAACCAUUUAUUUCUAUGUGGAGGCACUGUCCACUCAGUAGUGCUGGAUUUCAGCCUCAGCUGAGCCCCUGUCUGCAUAGAUUUUCCUUUGUAUGUCUUAAUUUUGCCAUUUGUUUGCUAUGGCUCCUUGAUAAAAAAAAAAAAAUAGCCUUUAUUCCAACACAUUAGAUUUAUCCAUUGAUUUAUCAUUGUUUGCUUUUGUCAGCCAGCUGUUUAGAGCACUCAUUGUAUUGUUUUUCAGGUACGCGCGGGUACUGGUGUUCUCCGUGCCCAGAAGUACACUGAACAAAAAUAUAAACACAACAUGCAAAAAAUUCUAGAUUUGACUGAGUUACAGUUCAUAGAAGGAAAUCAGUCAAUUGAAAUACAUUCAUUAGGCCCUAAUCUAUGGAUUUCACAUGCCUGGGAAUACAGAUAUGCAUCUGUUGGUCACAGACACCUUAAAAAAAAGGUAGGGGCGUAGAUGAGAAAACCAGUCAAUAUCUGGUGUUACCACCAUUUGCCUAAUACAGCGCGACACAUCUCCUUCGCAUAGAGUUGAUCAGGCUGUUGAUUGUGGCCUGUGGAAUGUUGUCGCACUCCUCUUCAAACGCUGUGCGAAGUAUCUUGAUAUUGUUGGGAACUGGAACAUGCUGUCGUAUACAUAGAUUCAGAGCAUCCCAAACAUACUCAAUGGGUGACGUCUUGUGAGUAUGCACGGUAUCUCUGUGCAUUCAAAUGACCAUUGAUAAAAUGCAAUUGUGUUCGUUGUUCGUAGCUUAUGCCUGCCCAUACCAUAACCCCACCUCCACCAUGGGGCACUCUGUUCACAAUGUUGACAUCAGCAAACCGCUCGCCCACACGACGCCAUACAGUACACACUGUCUGGUACAGGUGCACUUGUGUAAUGAUCAUGCUGUUUAAUCAGCUUCUUGAUUUACCACCUGUCAAGGUGGAUGGAUUAUCUGGCAAAGAGAAAUGCUCACUAACAGGGAUGUAAACAAUA